CCUAUUGUUUCGCCAAUAGUAGCCUACGGCAGGUGCGUCUUAUGAUGUACCAAGCUGCUCGGACAAGGUAACCCUCCCGAAAGGGUCGAGAAUGAACCGUGAGGGGACUUCAAGAACCGCAAGCAUUAUGUGGUUGGGGA
RNAcentral lists this non-coding RNA (140 nucleotides) under Bacteroides acidifaciens. Lineage: Bacteria; Pseudomonadati; Bacteroidota; Bacteroidia; Bacteroidales; Bacteroidaceae. RNAcentral also lists the same sequence under 1 other name. The record is from RNAcentral.